UACGUAGGGGGCAAGCGUUGUCCGGAUUUAUUGGGCGUAAAGAGCGUGUAGGCGGCUAGGUAGGUCCGUUGUGAAAACUGGAGGCUCAACCUCCAGACGUCGACGGAAACCGUGUGGCUAGAGUCCGGAAGAGGAGAGUGGAAUUCCUGGUGUAGCGGUGAAAUGCGCAGAUAUCAGGAAGAACACCAAUGGCGAAGGCAGCUCUCUGGGACGGUACUGACGCUGAGACGCGAAAGCGUGGGGAGCGAACAGG
This 253-nucleotide ribosomal RNA is filed under the name uncultured bacterium. Its description in RNAcentral is "partial 16S ribosomal RNA". It matches the Rfam family "Bacterial small subunit ribosomal RNA", at positions 524 to 776 of the family's 1533-position model. The record is from RNAcentral.